CCGGCGACCGGCGCACGGGUGAGUGACACGUAUCCAACCUGCCGAUGACUCGGGGAUAGCCUUUCGAAAGAAAGAUUAAUACCCGAUGGCAUAGUUCUUCCGCAUGGUAGAACUAUUAAAGAAUUUCGGUCAUCGAUGGGGAUGCGCUCCAUUAGGUUGUUGGCGGGGUAACGGCCCACCAAGCCUUCGAUGGAUAGGGGUUCUGAGAGGAAGGUCCCCCACAUUGGAACUGAGACACGGUCCAA
Molecule: ribosomal RNA, 245 nt
Filed under: uncultured bacterium
Lineage: Bacteria
Description: partial 16S ribosomal RNA
Rfam family: Bacterial small subunit ribosomal RNA
Source: RNAcentral